This 64-nucleotide small RNA is filed under the name Salmonella enterica. RNAcentral describes it as "partial RtT sRNA". It matches the Rfam family "RtT RNA", at positions 68 to 130 of the family's 130-position model. Rfam says of the family: This family represents a bacterial cis-regulatory element known as RtT RNA. The exact function of RtT is unknown although it is thought that it may be involved in changing the cellular response in relation to amino acid starvation. Lineage: Bacteria; Pseudomonadati; Pseudomonadota; Gammaproteobacteria; Enterobacterales; Enterobacteriaceae. The record is from RNAcentral.
UUGCCGCAGGCAACGGCCCGAAGGGCGAAGCGCGCAGCGCUGAGUAAUCUCUCCCCCACCACCA